This 1156-nucleotide long non-coding RNA is filed under the name Felis catus (domestic cat). RNAcentral's name for it is "lncRNA (ENSFCAG00000053828.1)". Lineage: Eukaryota; Metazoa; Chordata; Mammalia; Carnivora; Felidae. The record is from RNAcentral.
AUGACGGGGCUGGUUUACCAGAACACCACUGCCAAAGGGAGCAUCUGUGGAUCACACAGGAGUAUCUCGUGGAAGCUAAGGAUUUGGAACCAGGGACAGUUUCUUGUUACCCCAACUAGUCUCAGCCUUGGUUUCCCAGACUUAAGACGUUCCUAAUCCGGGGAGAAACAAUACUGAUAAGCAAGGGAGCAAGAAAUAAGGAAUGUGACAUUUUUUAAUCUCAAAAAUGAAAAUUUGACCCUACCAAUCAAUGAAUUCCAUGGAUCCUGGAUGGCAACCCUCUCAGGAGUCUGGAAUCUUGUCGGUAUGAGACUGACCUGCUAAAACAAUUAGAGAAUGAUGCUUUGCCAUAGAGUGUAACAACAAAAUAGCUUGCGAUGGCUCUUCAAAUUAAGAGAAUGGGCUCAGGAUGUUAGAUCUGAAAAACUUCUCAGAGGCCAUGUAUUUCAGUGUUCUUUUUUUACUGAUUUGGGAAGUGGGGCCAAGAGAGAUUCAAACAUUUGGUGAAGUUCAAAUGGCAAGUUAGGAACAUGGUCUCUGUUCUUAUUACACUACAGUUACCUUGAUUUGGCAGUAACACCCCUAUUAAAAUACAACAUGUUGUUCUUCCGAAAGAGGUUUUACCCACUUUUUAUGCAGUUUAGAUGAUCAUUUUAUCCUUACUGCCUUCUCAAACCUUUUCACAUGGGCCUGCUCUCCAUUAAAGGGCGUAUUCCAUGUACCCUGAAUGAGGUAGCAUUUCUAAAAGGCCUGGGCAAAGAGCACACAAACCCCCACCAAUGAGAAGAUUCUGUUCCAAACCAUACUUGACCAACAAUUCCUCUGGAGAUGGCAGAACUUCAGCUGUGGUCUGAAUCAGGUGUUUGAAUUUUCAGGGGCAGGAGGGAUCUGGAAAAGGAUCUUGGCGUAUCAGCCUAACUAUAAGAGUCCUUCCCUCCACAGCAACCCCACACCAGAGUUGGACUUGCUGAUGUCUGAGGGUGAGGUUAUACGCUAAGGAGAAUAAGCAUGCAAGCCACCCACAGGAGCCACAGAGCUGACAUAGGCAGGCGCACUCAGAGGUUAGUGGCUGGGAUGCUGCAUUGUGGUGUAAAAGAAAAAUAAUUGUUUAAUGUUGUUCAAUACUAACUCCUUCGACUUGUCAACUGUUCCUGCA